GGCUCAGUAGGUUGGUCGUGCCACCGGUACGUACUGGUCUCACUGAUUCCUCCUUCCUGAAGAGCCGUAAUGCCAUUAAUUUGGUGUUGCGGGGAAACAGGACUGUUACUUUGAAAAAAUUAGAGUGUUUAAAGCAAGCUAACGCUUGAAUACAUUAGCAUGGAAUAAUGAAAUAGGACGAUCGAUCCUAUUUUGUUGGUUUCUAGGAUUGACGUA
RNAcentral lists this ribosomal RNA (216 nucleotides) under Glomeromycotina sp. Its description in RNAcentral is "partial small subunit ribosomal RNA". The stretch from base 40 to 216 matches the Rfam family "Eukaryotic small subunit ribosomal RNA", at positions 686 to 864 of the family's 1831-position model. The record is from RNAcentral. Lineage: Eukaryota; Fungi; Glomeromycota.